CCUACGGGAGGCUGCAGUAGGGAAUAUUGCUCAAUGGGGGAAACCCUGAAGCAGCAACGCCGCGUGGGGGAUGAAGGUUUUCGGAUUGUAAACUCCUUUUGUUAGAGAAGAUAAUGACGGUAUCUAACGAAUAAUCACCGGCUAACUCCGUGCCAGCAGCCGCGGUAAUACGGGGGGUGCAAGCGUUCCUCGGAAUCACUGGGCGGAAAGAGCGCGUAGGCGGGAUAGCAAGUCAGACGUGAAAUCCUAUGGCUUAACCAUAGAACUGCAUUUGAAACUGUUAUUCUAGAGUAUGGGAGAGGUAGGUGGAAUUCUCGGUGUAGGGGUAAAAUGCGUAGAGAUCAAGCGGAAUACUCAUUGCGAAGGCGACCUGCUAGAACCUAACUGACGCUGAUGCGCGAAAGCGUGGGGAGCAAACAGGAUUAGAUACCCGAGUAGUC
Molecule: ribosomal RNA, 440 nt
Filed under: uncultured bacterium
Lineage: Bacteria
Description: partial 16S ribosomal RNA
Rfam family: Bacterial small subunit ribosomal RNA
Source: RNAcentral